GACGAACGCUGGCGGCGUGCUUAACACAUGCAAGUCGUACGGUAAGGCCCUUUCGGGGGUACACGAGUGGCGAACGGGUGAGUAACACGUGAGUAACCUGCCCACAACUUUGGGAUAACGCUAGGAAACUGGUGCUAAUACUGGAUAUGUGCUCCUGCUGCAUGGUGGGGGUUGGAAAGCUCCGGCGGUUGUGGAUGGACUCGCGGCCUAUCAGCUUGUUGGUGGGGUAGUGGCCUACCAAGGCGGCGACGGGUAGCCGCCCUGAGAGGGUGACCGGCCACAUUGGGACUGAGAUACGGCCCAGACUCCUACGGGAGGCAGCAGUGGGGAAUAUUGCACAAUGGGCGCAAGCCUGAUGCAGCAACGCCGCGUGCGGGAUGACGGCCUUCGGGUUGUAAACCGCAUUCAGCAGGGGCGAAGCUUUUUGUGACGGUACCUGCAGAAGAAGCACCGGCUAACUACGUG
Molecule: ribosomal RNA, 465 nt
Filed under: uncultured bacterium
Lineage: Bacteria
Description: partial 16S ribosomal RNA
Rfam family: Bacterial small subunit ribosomal RNA
Source: RNAcentral